GACAGAGGGUGCAAACGUUGUUCGGAAUUACUGGGCGUAAAGCGUGUGUAGGCGGUCUCGUAAGUCGGGUGUGAAAGCCCCGGGCUCAACCCGGGAAGUGCACUCGAAACUGCGAGGCUAGAGUACUGGAGAGGUUGGUGGAAUUCUCGGUGUAGAGGUGAAAUUCGUAGAUAUCGAGAGGAACACCGGUGGCGAAGGCGGCCAACUGGACAGAUACUGACGCUGAGACGCGACAGCGUGGGGAGCAAACAGG
Molecule: ribosomal RNA, 253 nt
Filed under: uncultured bacterium
Lineage: Bacteria
Description: partial 16S ribosomal RNA
Rfam family: Bacterial small subunit ribosomal RNA
Source: RNAcentral